CAUUCUUAAUUUUACCAUGCCUAAAAAUAGUAAAAUUGAGCAUGUUAUCAAUGGUGACUACUAUGUUUUCCUCGUAGUUACCAUGUUUUGACAACCAAGCGAAUAGUAGCAAAUACCAUCAAAUAUGGUUAUCUUGAUUACGCUAUUCGUGAUUGUCUGAACCAUGUUCAUAUUUGCCUACUACUAUUUUUAUGUUUAACUAUACUAUAUCAAUAAGAUCUCCUUUUUUCAGAAAAAUCGGCAAACACCGCCAUUUUGCAAUAAAGUGUUUGCCACGUUUCCUGCUUCAUAAGAAAUUAUUUGUUAUGGAGAAUUGUUCUUUUAUAAAAAUGGUGGUAAGUUUUCAACAGACUUUUUUUUAACUAUUCUUUAAACCAACAAUGUCAAUCUAUCUUGACCCGCAGUAAUUCAACCAAUUUUCUUCUGCCGGAAGAAAAUCCCAAGGAAAAUCCUACACCAUCCUCACCACCUCUGUUUUUCUAAGGCGAAUAUCGAAGUUACGGAAGUUGGCAGGUUCCAAGGAAAGAAUGUCGAGAAAGAUCAGAGAAAGAGGGGAAAAGCGAGUUCUCAGGUUACAAAAUCAUUUGAUACCGAUGGAGCUUCCAGAUUAAAGAGCAACCCGAGUCACCUACGAAAAUGAAUGCAUUGCCAGCAGAAAUCUCCCCUCCGCGGACGACCCUCCAUCCGAAGAAGGACGUCGGAGCUUUUUCCUAAUUCCGUCUCCUUUAAUUCCAUCGCCGUUGUUUAAUCAGGAUACGCCUGUAACCUCCAAACCGAACCGAUUCUCUCGCAACAACUUCGUCCGGAACCACAUCAAGCCGCGUUCAGCAGCUUCCCGGACGUCACAUCAUAGCGGGACCCAAAGAACAUCAAUCGAACCAUCCAUGCCGUUCCGAAAAAAAUCGAAUAUUCGCAAGAAGGGAACCAAACAGGAUGCUUGACUCUCACGGAGGACAUCCAUCUUAUAGGAAUAUACUUAUGUAGCAUUAAUUAUGUAAUUAUACUUUAUACAAUACAAUAAAUUUUAUCGAUUUUACUUUU
Molecule: long non-coding RNA, 1041 nt
Organism: Aedes albopictus (Asian tiger mosquito)
Lineage: Eukaryota; Metazoa; Arthropoda; Insecta; Diptera; Culicidae
Exons: 2
Source: RefSeq, a predicted model, not a curated record